Salvia splendens (bonfire salvia) is the source of this 921-nucleotide long non-coding RNA. RefSeq lists it as uncharacterized. The record is from RefSeq and is a predicted model, not a curated record. Lineage: Eukaryota; Viridiplantae; Streptophyta; Magnoliopsida; Lamiales; Lamiaceae. The transcript has 3 exons.
AAAUAAAUUUGAAUUUAUGAUGAUGAGCAGGCUAACCUCCGUCGCCAAAACCUAUAACCUAAACCCAAACACCACGACGGCGGUGGGCGUCCGCCUUCUCUCCACCAAAUCCGGCGAGGAGGAGUGGAAUGACGCUCCGGAAAUUUCCUGGCUUCCAUACAAUCUCCCUGGCAAAUCUCUCCCCGAAAAUCCCCAAACUGCAAUCUCCUCCUCUCCGCCGGAGACCAAGGCUUUCGUGGAGGAAAUGAACGAUAAUUGGGAGCAGAGGAAGGGAAAAUCGGUGAAGAAGGAUUCUGAUCGGCUGACGAAGCAGAGAAUCCACGCCCGCCUGUGGGCGAAGGAGAUUGAGAAACUGGAGGAGGCUAAAUUGGGGAAUUUCUCCGACGAUAAUGAUUUGGGAAGUUCCACAUUCAAUUGGUGGCUGGGAAACAAAUAAUGUAGAGAGAGGGAAGAAGACAUGUUGGUUGAAGAGUUUGAGCAUCGCAUUGCCUUGAAUAAGUUUCAGAUUGAAAGCUUCAUAAAAACACACAUCUACAUGGAUGGAAAUACAUGAUCCAAGUUAUACGCCCUAAUGCAAACAAAAUAACUCAGGUAAAAAAACUGUAAUUAUAUUUUCAUAAAAUAAAUUAAGAAAUCAGUGCUUGUAACAACUAGGAGUAAUAGUAAUCCAUCCUAUUUUGGGUCAAAACAUGCAAUGCAUGUGUUGUUGGAUCAUCCGUGCAUCAUUGCGGCUGUGGGGUCGUGCGCCUAGCCAUGGGGCCGCACUGUGCACUCUUUGCCGCAAUAAUGUAUCGGCUUCUAUCUGUCGAAUAAUUAAGACAAUGUUAGUCCUUUGUUUAGGGCUACAUGCUUGGUCUAUAUAUUAGAUCUAUGUAGUAAUUAAUUUGGAUUUGUAUAUGAGUCUUAAUCAAUGGAUUUGUA